UGCAAGUCGAACGCUAUCUUUGAUAGAGUGGCGCACGGGUGAGUAACACGUGGGAAUCUGCCCUUUUGUUCGGGACAACAGUUGGAAACGACUGCUAAUACCGGAUACGCCCUUCGGGGGAAAGGUCCGCCGCAGAAGGAGGAGCCCGCGUCCGAUUAGCUUGUUGGUAGGGUAAUGGCCUACCAAGGCGACGAUCGGUAGCUGGUCUGAGAGGAUGAUCAGCCACACUGGGACUGAGACACGGCCCAGACUCCUACGGGAGGCAGCAGUGGGGAAUAUUGGACAAUGGGGGCAACCCUGAUCCAGCAAUGCCGCGUGUGUGAUGAAGGCCUUAGGGUUGUAAAGCACUUUCACUGGUGAAGAUGAUGACGGUAACCAGAGAAGAAGCCCCGGCUAACUUCGUGCCAGCAGCCGCGGUAAUACGAAGGGGGCGAGCGUUGUUCGGAAUUACUGGGCGUAAAGGGAGCGCAGGCGGUUCAUUUAGUUAGGCGUGAAAGCCCCGGGCUCAACCUGGGAACUGCGCUUAAUACUGAUGAACUAGAAAACAGAAGAGGGUAGUGGAAUUCCCAGUGUAGAGGUGAAAUUCGUAGAUAUUGGGAAGAACACCGGUGGCGAAAGCGGCUACCUGGUCUGA
This 634-nucleotide ribosomal RNA is filed under the name uncultured bacterium. RNAcentral's name for it is "bacterial SSU rRNA". It matches the Rfam family "Bacterial small subunit ribosomal RNA", at positions 56 to 737 of the family's 1533-position model. The record is from RNAcentral.